This 592-nucleotide long non-coding RNA is filed under the name Phasianus colchicus (ring-necked pheasant). RNAcentral describes it as "lncRNA (ENSPCLG00000018678.1)". The record is from RNAcentral. Lineage: Eukaryota; Metazoa; Chordata; Aves; Galliformes; Phasianidae.
GUUUUGUUGGGGUUGAGUUCCAUGAAGAAGAAGCUCACUGAGUGUGAUGCCUUAACAAAAGCAGCACACGUCCUACAAAGAAGUAAGGGCACAUGGACAUCCAGCCAUCUUGAAACCUGCUCUGCAAGGCAUUCAUACCCACAAGGAAAGAUGAAGGUGAAGAGCUGUGUCCUGGUGGCUAUUGCUUCUGUAACAACCGCUCAGAUGAGGACUUCCCAUGAUUUCCUCAGUGCCCUCAUGCUGCAGCUCUUCUCCAGGCUGGGAUGGUCGGGGUUUCCUCUGCAUCCAUCUGACGUAGUGGCAUCUCAAAGGCUGUGGGCAGACCUCCUACAGUGGCAGAGAAGUCAGAGCCAGGAGUGUGGCCGUGGUCCCAUCUGUCUUUAGGAGUGCAGAAGUUUGCAUUUAAGGCAGCUGGUAAUUUAGGAAAGAAGAUACAAAUUCUCCCGGAACACGGAGACAAAAAAUUCCCCCCCGUAGGUGACCGAUUACUGUGGUUUUCUCCAAGUUAAAAGAAGGUUUAAAUAUUGACUGUAGUGAAUUUAUGGACCUUUGUAUGGAAAAAAAAACUAUGCUUCUAUAAUCUUUAGACAGC